RNAcentral lists this long non-coding RNA (1376 nucleotides) under Homo sapiens (human). RNAcentral describes it as "non-protein coding lnc-SOD3-10:1". The record is from RNAcentral. Lineage: Eukaryota; Metazoa; Chordata; Mammalia; Primates; Hominidae.
GCUUUAAACGGUCUGAUUCUUUGAGGGCAGUGGAGGGGAAGCAAUGUCCUUUUUGGCUGCAUGCACUGCUUGGCCAUUCAGUCCAUGAACUGGUUAGUGCAGGUGGCUUUCACGGGUGCUGGAAAAUUAUAGUCUCGGAACCAAACUUGUAUCAGUAAACACACUGCCUCGGACUGGCCACUUCAAUUCCGUUGAACCUUCCACAGUUCAAACAGGGCACCUGUGUCAGUCUGAGAGCUUAGCAGGCACAGCUGACCCUGGCUGCCCAGCAAACAGUUUAUGUUGGGGAGCAAUCUAGAGAUUUCCUGAGAUAAGGAUGCUAUUACGGGCUGACAAAUGUGGAACGGAGCAGAGUGGGCAGCUUUUGUCCAGACUGACCCAGGGUGAGAAUGCUGGGAUUAUUGCUGAUUGGGGAUAAAUGGCAACCGGUGAUUUAUUUGUUCAAGUGAAACCAGCCAAGUUCAUCCCUCAACACCAUCUCCCAUCUCUUUAAGCUGCAGGGAUGAUGAAAUGAGAAUAUUAAAUCCAAUGGAGGUCCAUUUUGCUCACUAUGGUAAACACAGAAAUUCAUCCUGGUAUCUAGAACAGAGUAAAUCCUCAAUAAACACUUGUUGAAUGAACAAAGGAACAAACCAAUGAAUUAAUGAAACAUCUUUACCUUGUGUCUCAUUUCUUAUCACUUAUCAUUUCAAUAUGUGCAAGAACUCAGAGUACAUUUUUCAUUUUGUGUAUGUGAAACUUACCAACAAAAUAGUAGCUAAAAAGUUGUAAAACUUACAAGUUUUCAACAACAAAGUUGAAAUGUAAAUGAACAUCUGUGCUCCCCGAAAUACAUAAUAGGCAAGUAGAGAAAUCUAGAAAGGAAAGGCCACAGGCUGAGGGAGUUAACAGAUGCGAUAGUCUAUUAACAUUAAUUUUCUGAAGUGUAUAUUUCAGAAAUUUGCUCAGCCUCGCUGAGUCUCAGUUUCCUCAACUGUAUACUGAAGACAAUUUCUUUAUUUACCAACCUGAAAUAUUCAUAGUGAGUCUAAGAUGGAAGAACAGAUGAGUAAAUACUUUAAAAGUGUAAUAAGAGGCCAGGCGUUGUGGCUCACACCUGUAAUCCCAGCACUUCGGGAGGCCAAGGCGGGCAGAUCAUUUGAGGUCAGGAGUUCGAGACCAGACUGGCCAACAUGGCAAAACCCUGUCUCUACAAAAACUACAAAAAUUAGCUGGGCGUGGUGACACGCGCCUGUAAUCCCAGCUACUCAGGAGGCUGAGAGGCAUGAGAAUCACUUGAACCCAGGAGGUGGUGGUUACACUGAGCUGAGAUUGUGCUGCUGCACUCCAGCCUGGGCAACAGAGCAAGACUCCAUCUCAAAAGAAAAAAAAAAGUG